This 507-nucleotide ribosomal RNA is filed under the name uncultured bacterium. RNAcentral's name for it is "bacterial SSU rRNA". It matches the Rfam family "Bacterial small subunit ribosomal RNA", at positions 32 to 538 of the family's 1533-position model. The record is from RNAcentral.
AACGCUGGCGGCGUGCUUAACACAUGCAAGUCGAACGGGAAUUACUUUAUUGAAACUUCGGUCGAUUUAAUUUAAUUCUAGUGGCGGACGGGUGAGUAACGCGUGGGUAACCUGCCUUGUACAGGGGGAUAACAGUCAGAAAUGACUGCUAAUACCGCAUAAGCGCACAGAGCUGCAUGGCUCAGUGUGAAAAACUCCGGUGGUAUAAGAUGGACCCGCGUUGGAUUAGCUAGUUGGUGAGGUAACGGCCCACCAAGGCGACGAUCCAUAGCCGGCCUGAGAGGGUGAACGGCCACAUUGGGACUGAGACACGGCCCAGACUCCUACGGGAGGCAGCAGUGGGGAAUAUUGCACAAUGGGGGAAACCCUGAUGCAGCGACGCCGCGUGAAGGAAGAAGUAUCUCGGUAUGUAAACUUCUAUCAGCAGGGGAAGAAAAUGACGGUACCUGACUAAGAAGCCCCGGCUAACUACGUGCCAGCAGCCGCGGUAAUACGUAGGGGGGCAAG